RNAcentral lists this ribosomal RNA (253 nucleotides) under uncultured bacterium. Its description in RNAcentral is "partial 16S ribosomal RNA". It matches the Rfam family "Bacterial small subunit ribosomal RNA", at positions 524 to 776 of the family's 1533-position model. The record is from RNAcentral.
UACAGAGGGUGCGAGCGUUAAUCGGAAUUACUGGGCGUAAAGCGUGCGUAGACGGUAGCGUAAGUCAGAUGUGAAAGCCCCGGGCUCAACCUGGGAAUUGCAUUUGAGACUGCAUUGCUUGGGUGCGGAAGAGGGAAGCGGAAUUUCCGGUGUAGCGGUGAAAUGCGUAGAUAUCGGAAAGAACACCAACGGCGAAAGCACUCUGCUGGGCCGACACUGACACUGAGAGACGAAAGCUAGGGGAGCGAAUGGG